RNAcentral lists this ribosomal RNA (497 nucleotides) under uncultured bacterium. RNAcentral describes it as "partial 16S ribosomal RNA". It matches the Rfam family "Bacterial small subunit ribosomal RNA", at positions 28 to 507 of the family's 1533-position model. The record is from RNAcentral.
GAUGAACGCUGGCGGCGUGCCUAAUACAUGCAAGUCGAGCGAACGGACGAGAAGCUUGCUUCUCUGAUGUUAGCGGCGGACGGGUGAGUAACACGUGGAUAACCUACCUAUAAGACUGGAAUAACUUCGGGAAACCGGAGCUAAUACCGGAUGAUAUUUUGAACCGCAUGGUUCAAAAGUGAAAGACGGUCUUGCUGUCACUUAUAGAUGGAUCCGCGCUGCAUUAGCUAGUUGGUAAGGUAACGGCUUACCAAGGCAACGAUGCAUAGCCGACCUGAGAGGGUGAUCGGCCACACUGGAACUGAGACACGGUCCAGACUCCUACGGGAGGCAGCAGUAGGGAAUCUUCCGCAAUGGGCGAAAGCCUGACGGAGCAACGCCGCGUGAGUGAUGAAGGUCUUCGGAUCGUAAAACUCUGUUAUUAGGGAAGAACAUAUGUGUAAGUAACUGUGCACAUCUUGACGGUACCUAAUCAGAAAGCCACGGCUAACUACGUG